AGAUCCAGUGGCGGCCCAUCCCUCGGCCAUGGCGAUGGGGCCGGCGGUCGCGCCCAUGGGGGCUGGCAGCGAACCACCCCGCGGCCGUUCCCGAGGGGACCGGUGGCGACCCGCCCCGAGGCCGCGCCCGAUGGGGCCGUCGACGGCCCGUCCAUUGCCGUGUGCCGAUGCGGGGCUCCGCGGCCGUCCCGCCCCUCGCGCUACACGCGCCUGCCGCAGCCGGCCCGCCCCUCGCUCUGCACGCCGCCUGCUGCUUGCCCCUCGCACUGCACGCCGCGGCCGGCCUGUCCCACACCAAUAGCUGCUUGCCUAGCUGCUAUAGAUAGAAGAGAGUGGUUGAGGAGGUCAUUUGCAAAGCUGGGUGGAAUUAGUGGAGAACAAUGUUGGAAGCAGUGAGCUUGAUGCUGAUGAGAUCAAUUAUGGAGCGAUGCCUGACGAACAAGCAUCUACAGAGGCACCUACAGAGGUUUCUCCCCCCUUGAAGAUAGGAUCAAGAACAAGAAGAGAACAAGAAAUUUCAGCGAGAAGAAGGAUAUUUUGUUGGCGUCGGCAUGGAUAGAAGUAAGCAUGGAUCCCGUUCAAUUUGUUGAUCAAACUCGCAGCACUUAUUGGCAGCGAAUUCAUGAGUACUACCACAAGCACAAGACCUUUGAAUCUGAUCGUAAUAUCAGUUCUCUCUCACACCGUUGGGGUAUCAUUUAAGGAAGUGUUAGCAAAUUUUGUUCAUGGUACAAUCAAGUACUCCGUUCAAAGCGAUGUCACACAUCAAGACAGGAUUCAACAAGCAUGUGUGCUGUACAAGGAUGCAGACUCAGAUAAGAGGUCAUUUGGUUUACUGCACUGUUGGAACCUCUGCAGCAUGCCCAGAAGUGGAAGGACCUCCAUUGCAACAGCAACAACAAAAAACAGAAGAAAUCUACUACAACAAGUCCAAGGUCAGCUACUCCUGGAACACAUGAAAGUCACCGUGUUGAUGAAGAGGACGGUCCAAGUCAUACUUCACCAAGGAAAGGUAUGUAGGCCAGAGGGUCAGAAGGAGGAGAAAGAAAGGCAAGGUAAAAAUCGUAUAGCUCAUGGUGAUCAAUUUGAGACUAUGGGUCUUGUCUGUUAUGUAUGAACAAUUUUUAUUAUUUACCUUGUUAUGUAUGAACAAUUUAUGGUCUGUAGGAGGACAAUUUUUGUUAAUUUGUGGUAUGUAUCUGGCAAUGUUUACCUAAACGGUAAACGCUAGACGGUCGGUGUGGAUCCGUGUAGCGUGUAGACCGUGUACAUGCCGUGUACACUGUAUUACACGGAUUACACGUUUUGUACCAUAUUGACAAAUAUAAGUACAGUAACAUGUAUAUAUGCUUAAAACUAACAACAAUAAUGACAAGUUAAAAAAUAAUUUCAAGUGAGAA
Panicum hallii is the source of this 1400-nucleotide RNA transcript. RefSeq lists it as uncharacterized. The record is from RefSeq and is a predicted model, not a curated record. The transcript is spliced from 3 exons. Lineage: Eukaryota; Viridiplantae; Streptophyta; Magnoliopsida; Poales; Poaceae.